RNAcentral lists this ribosomal RNA (3179 nucleotides) under Actinomyces sp. oral taxon 897. RNAcentral's name for it is "bacterial LSU rRNA". It matches the Rfam family "Bacterial large subunit ribosomal RNA". Lineage: Bacteria; Bacillati; Actinomycetota; Actinomycetes; Actinomycetales; Actinomycetaceae. The record is from RNAcentral.
GUUGUGUGUUGUUUUUAUGGGCGUUCGGUGGAUGCCUUGGCACCAGGGGCCGAUGAAGGACGUGGUGGACUGCGAUAAGCCUCGGGGAGCCGUCUUGCGGGCCUUGAUCCGAGGGUUUCCGAAUGGGGGGACCCGGCGCCCGUCACGGGGCGUCACCCGCGUCUGAAUGUAUAGGGCGUGUGGGGGUUACGCGGGGAAGUGAAACAUCUCAGUACCCGUAGGAGAGGAUAUUCCGUGAGUAGUGGCGAGCGGAAGCGGAUGAUGGCUGAAACCGUCGUGGUGCUGGUUACCCGGCAGGGUCUGCCGCGGCGGGGUUGUGGGGUCGUGCCGUCCUGUUCCUGCCGGGGCGGGGGCGUGGUGAGAAACCGUGGUGGUAGCCGAACCCCCUGGGACGGGGGGCCGUGGAGGGUGAGAGCCCCGUAGGCGGAACUGCCUCGGCCGCGCUGGCACGGUGCCCGAGUAGCACGGGGCACGUGGAAUCCUGUGUGAAUCUGCCGGGACCACCCGGCUGCCUGAAUACCUCCUGGUGACCGAUAGCGGAGUAGUACCGUGAGGGAACGGUGAAAAGUACCCCGGGAGGGGAGUGAAAGAGUACCUGAAACCGGGCGCCUACGAGCCGUCAGGGCCCUGCCGCCCCCCCGUUUUUCGUGGGGGGUGGGGGGUGGUGGCGUGCCUAUUGAAGAAUGAGCCUGCGAGUCAGUGGCGUGUCGCGAGGUUAACCCGUUGUGGGGUAGCCGUAGCGAGGGCGAGUCCGAACAGGGCGUCUAGUGGCGCGUCCUGGACCCGAAGCGGGGUGAUCUACCCAUGGCCAGGCUGAGGCACGUGUAAGAGCGUGUGGAGGGCCGGACCCGCCUGGGUUGAAAACCGGGGGGAUGAGCUGUGGGUAGGGGUGAAAGGCCAAUCAGACUCCGUGAUAGCUGGUUCUCCCCGAAAUGCAUUUGGGUGCAGCGUCGCGUGGUCCCCGGCGGAGGUAGAGCUACUGGUUGGCUGAUGGGCCCCACAGGGUUACUGGGGUCAGCCAAACUCCGAAUGCCGUCGGGUGUGAGCGCGGCAGUGAGACCGCGGGGGAUAAGCUCCGUGGUCGAGAGGGGAACAGCCCGGACCGCCGGCUAAGGCCCCUAAGCGCGCGCUAAGUGGGAAAGGAUGUGCGGCCGCGGUGACAACCAGGAGGUUGGCUUAGAAGCAGCCACCCUUGAAAGAGUGCGUAACAGCUCACUGGUCAAGUGGUCGUGCGCCGACAAUGUAGCGGGGCUCAAGCGCGCCGCCGAAGCCGCGGACCCCCGGCCCCCUGUGGGGGGUUGGGGGUGGUAGGGGAGCGUCCUGUGCUGGGUGAAGCCGGUGGGGUGACCCCUGGUGGACGGUGCGGGAGCGAGGAUGCAGGCAUGAGUAGCGAGACCGGGGUGGGAGUCCCCGGCGCCGUGUGACCAAGGGUUCCAGGGGAAGGUUCGUCCGCCCUGGGUGAGUCGGGGCCUAAGGCGAGGCCGACAGGCGUAGUCGAUGGGUGACGGGUUGAUAUUCCCGUACCGGUGGGGCACCGCCCGUGCUGACUGGUGGGUGCUAACCCACGCCGGGUGCCGCCUUCUUCCCCUUGUCCCGGGCUUCGGCCCGGGUGGGGGUGGUGGUGCCGGGUCUGGGGGUCCUCCGCCUUGGUAGGCAAGCGUGUUAACAGGGGUGACGCACAGUGGUAGCCUCCGCGGGCCUGAUGGCUUGGCCCGUCCAACCGUGUGGCCCGUCCCCCAGGUAAAUCCGGGGGGCUGUCUUUGGUGACGAGGGUGAGGCGGGACGGUGACCUGCCCCGUGGGGCGGGGAAGCAGGGUGAUCCUGUGGUGCCUAGAAAAGCCUCGACGCGAUGGUGUGAGCCGCCCGUACCCUAUACCGACACAGGUGGUCCGGCAGAGUAUGCCGAGGCGGGCGGGUGAACCGUGGUGAAGGAACUCGGCAAGAUGCCCCCGUAACUUUGGGAGAAGGGGGCCCUGUCCCCUGAGGCCCCGUGCGGGCUGGGGGGCGGGCCGCAGAGACCAGGGGGGAGCGACUGUUUACUAAAAACACAGGUCCGUGCGAAGCCGUAAGGCGAUGUAUACGGACUGACGCCUGCCCGGUGCUGGAAGGUCAAGAGGAUCCGUCAGCCCCCCGCGGGGGGUGAAGCGGUGAGUUCAAGCCCCAGUAAACGGCGGUGGUAACUAUAACCAUCCUAAGGUAGCGAAAUUCCUUGUCGGGUAAGUUCCGACCUGCACGAAUGGCGUAACGACUCCCCCGCUGUCUCCACCACGGGCCCGGUGAAAUUGCACUACGAGUAAAGAUGCUCGUUACGCGCAGAAGGACGGAAAGACCCCGGGACCUUUACUGCAGCUUGGUAUUGGCGUCCGCCGUGUCCUGUGCAGGAUAGGUGGGAGGCGUGGAUCCCGGCGCGCCAGCGUCGUGGGGAGCCGUUGUUGGGAUACCACUCUGGGUGCGGCGUGCGCCUGAACCUCGGCCCGUGACCCGGGUCAGGGACAGUGCCUGGUGGGUAGUUUAACUGGGGCGGUUGCCUCCUAAAGGGUAACGGAGGCGCUCAAGGGUCCCCUCAGCCUGGUCGGUAACCAGGUGUCGAGUGCAAGCGCACAAGGGGGCUUGACUGCGAGACCGACGGGUCGGGCAGGUGCGAAAGCAGGAGCUAGUGAUCCGGCGGCCCCGUGUGGGUGGGCCGUCGCUCAACGGAUAAAAGGUACCCCGGGGAUAACAGGCUGAUCCUGCCCAAGAGUCCAUAUCGACGGCAUGGUUUGGCACCUCGAUGUCGGCUCGUCGCAUCCUGGGGCUGGAGCAGGUCCCAAGGGUUGGGCUGUUCGCCCAUUAAAGCGGUACGCGAGCUGGGUUUAGAACGUCGUGAGACAGUUCGGUCCCUAUCCUCUGCGCGCGUUGGAGGCCUGAGGGGGCCUGUCCCUAGUACGAGAGGACCGGGACGGACGGACCUCUGGUGUGCCAGUUGUCCCGCCAGGGGCACGGCUGGUUGGCUACGUCCGGGAGGGGUAACCGCUGAAGGCAUCUAAGCGGGAAACCAUCCCCGAGACCAGGCCUCCGCACGACCACCCCCCUGGGGUGGUGUGGUAGGCCCCCGGUAGACGACCGGGUUGAUAGGCCGGGCGUGGAAGCGGGGUGACCCGUGGAGCUGACCGGUACUAACAGGCCGACACAACACACAC